RNAcentral lists this ribosomal RNA (468 nucleotides) under uncultured bacterium. RNAcentral's name for it is "partial 16S ribosomal RNA". It matches the Rfam family "Bacterial small subunit ribosomal RNA", at positions 28 to 507 of the family's 1533-position model. The record is from RNAcentral.
GACGAACGCUGGCGGCGUGCUUAACACAUGCAAGUCGAACGGAGAGGCCCUGCUUUUGUGGGGUGCUCGAGUGGCGAACGGGUGAGUAACACGUGAGUAACCUGCCCAUGACUUUGGGAUAACUUCAGGAAACUGGGGCUAAUACCGGAUAGGAGCUCCUGCUGCAUGGGGGGGGUUGGAAAGUUUCGGCGGUUGGGGAUGGACUCGCGGCUUAUCAGCCUGUUGGUGGGGUAGUGGCUUACCAAGGCUUUGACGGGUAGCCGGCCUGAGAGGGUGACCGGCCACAUUGGGACUGAGAUACGGCCCAGACUCCUACGGGAGGCAGCAGUGGGGAAUAUUGCACAAUGGGCGGAAGCCUGAUGCAGCAACGCCGCGUGCGGGAUGACGGCCUUCGGGUUGUAAACCGCUUUCGCCUGUGACGAAGCGUGAGUGACGGUAAUGGGUAAAGAAGCACCGGCUAACUACGUG